AUGGCGCGUGCUGUGGUGAGCGCUGUAGUAGGCCCACUGGGUCCCCUACUGGAGAAGCUCAACGCUCUCCACGCCGGCGAGUAUGGCCGCAUGAGGGGGGUCCGCACUCUCAUCGGCUCCCUCAGAUCUGAGCUCACCAGCAUGCAUGCUACCGUAAAAGAUUACGAUCCCGAGAUGCUAGAAGAACAAGCCGUCGAAGUGAAGACAUGGAUAGCAUUGCUCAGGGAGUUGGCCUAUGACACCGAGUAUUGCAUCGACAAGUUCAUUCACCAGCUCGGCAGUGACGGCCGUCAUGGCGGCUUCAAGGAGUUUUUCCGCAAGGCCGCCCGUAAUCUGAAGACGCUUUUGUCUCUGCGUGGAAUCGCCGGUCAAAUCGACCAACUCAAGGUUCGUAUCAAUGAAGUGAAAGACUUAAAAAAUAGUUCCAAGCUAGAUGAUACCCUUUGUAGCACCCAUAAAGCCGUGGAUCCCCGUCUGGUUGACCUUUUAGCUAAGGAUGUGCACCUUGUGGGUUUGGAUGGUCCAAGAGACGAUAUUGCCAAAUGGAUGCUAGAAGGAAACAGCUCAUCUAAUAAUUGCAAGGUGUUGUCUAUUAUUGGGUUUGGUGGGUUGGGAAAAACUGCCCUAGCGAGCGAAAUCUACCGCAAGAUUGAAACUCAUUUUCAUUUUAGGGCUUUUGUAUCAGUUUCGCAAAAACCAAGUAUUAAGAGUAUUAUCAAGGAUGUGAUCUACAAAGUGCCUUGUCCAGAUGGAUUUAUAAAAGAUAUCGAUGUUUGGGAUGAAAUGACAUCUAUUGCAAAGUUGAGAGAGCUACUACAAGAUAAGAGGUAUCUCGUCAUAGUUGAUGACAUAUGGUCUAGACAAGCAUGGAACACCAUCAAGUGUGCUUUUCCAGAGAAUAAUUGUUCGAGCAGAAUUAUCACUACCACACGCAUUGUUGAGGUAGCAUUGGCAUGUUGUGUUGGCCGUGAGGACCGCGUGUAUGAAAUGAAAGCCCUGAGUGAUGUUCACUCUAAAAGUUUGUUUUUCAAAAGAAUAUUUGGCUCUGAAGACUGCCCUGAUUCCCUGAAAGAAGUUUCAAAUAAAAUCCUUAAAAAAUGUGGAGGCCUACCAUUGGCAAUUGUAAGUAUAUCUGGUCUUCUAGCAAACAAACCAGCUGUCAAAGAGGACUGGGAGCAGGUCAAAAGGUCAAUUGGGUCUGCAAUGGAAAAAACCCGGUCUCUGGAGGGAAUGCGUAGCAUACUAUCCCUUUCGUACAAUGAUCUUUCACUUCCUCUCAGGGCAUGCUUAUUGUACCUAAGUAUAUUUCCUGAGGACUAUGUGAUUGAAAGAGAGAGACUAGUGAGACUAUGGAUAGCAGAAGGACUUAUCUCUGAAGAGAAUGGACGGAGCAGACAAGAGGUUGCCGAGAACUACUUUUACAUGCUUAUCAAUAAAAGCAUGAUCUUACCAGUGGAUAUUGGCUAUGAUGGUAAGGCUCGUGCUUGUCGAGUUCAUGACAUGAUUCUUGAACUUAUUAUUUCAAAAUCCACUGAAGAUAAUUUUACCACAUUGGUAAGCACUGGGCUACAUGGUUUGGUAAAUCGACAAGGUUUUAUUCGACGGCUAUCUGUCCAGCACAUUGACCAGGAGCUUGCAUCUGCACUAGCAAAUGAAGAUCUAAGCCACGUACGAUCUCUAAUAGUGACAGCAUCUGCAGGUUGCAUCAAACUCUUGCCUAGUCUUGUUAAAUUUGGAGGUUUACAUGUAUUGGAUGUUGAAGAUUGCGUUGGUUUGGAGGAUUAUAUUAUGAAUGACAUUGACAAAUUAUUUCGACUGAAGUACCUGUGUCUUAGUGGAAAGUCCAUAUCAGAGUUACCAUCAGGGACCGUGGAGCUAGGCAAUUUAGAGACCCUAGAUCUGCGGAACACAUCCGUGCAGGAGUUGCCAGAUGGAACUUUUAAGUUCACUAAACUAGAGCACCUGCAUGGUGCAGGGCAAACAAAGAUACCAAACGGCCUUGGGGGUAUGAGGAACUUACGGGUGAUCUCAAGCUUUAAUGUUUCACGGAGUGAAACAGAUGCGGUGGAGGAGCUCGCGAACAUGAUAAAUUUGGAUGAACUCAAAGUAUACCUCGAUAGUGGAAGAUCUGACAAGUGCAAGAAGCAUGAAGAGCUGUUAUUCUCCUUGUUAUGCAAGCUAGGCACCUGCAAACUCCGAUCUCUAUGGAUACAUAAGCCUGGUGGUUCCCUUGAGUUGUUAGAUUCUUGGUCCCUUCUACCAUCUUCCCUUCAAAUAUUUCGUAUCUCCGGUGACUAUUGUUUCAUGAAUAUUCCAAAGUGGACUGCACCGGCACUCACCAGUCUUGCUUACCUGGAGAUCAGCUUAACUGAAUUAAAGGAGGAGGAUCUGCACACUCUUGGUGAACUUGCAAGCUUACUUUAUCUGAAACUGUCCUUCGUAGCCGACCCAGUUGAACUGAUCGAAGUCCAAGCAAGUACCGGAUUUCAGUGCCUCAUUAAGUUUGUCAUCUACAGUGUGGCUGGGGCGCACGUUAAGUUCAUGGAAGGAGCUAUGCCGAAGCUUGAGAAGCUUAAUUUGCGACUGCAUGUGUCACUGGCAAGACAUUCUGGCUUCGAAUUAGGUUUUCAGCAUCUUUCAUCUCUCAGAGAAGCAGUAUUAAGUUUUUACAGAGUGGAUGUAACACCUUCCGAAAUCAAGGCUGCCGCUGCUGCCAUCAGGAAAGAAGCAUGCAUCCACCCGAACCGUCCCGCAAUUGAUAUUUCAGAGGAAUUCUAUGGAAAGUAUAACGAGAUCGGCAGUGACGAGGAGGACUUGAGGUAG
Molecule: ribosomal RNA, 2823 nt
Filed under: Triticum aestivum (bread wheat)
Lineage: Eukaryota; Viridiplantae; Streptophyta; Magnoliopsida; Poales; Poaceae
Description: partial small subunit ribosomal RNA
Source: RNAcentral